RNAcentral lists this ribosomal RNA (610 nucleotides) under uncultured bacterium. RNAcentral's name for it is "bacterial SSU rRNA". It matches the Rfam family "Bacterial small subunit ribosomal RNA", at positions 338 to 948 of the family's 1533-position model. The record is from RNAcentral.
CCUACGGGAGGCAGCAGUAAGGAAUAUUGGUCAAUGGGCGAAAGUCUGAACCAGCCAUGCCGCGUGAAGGAUUAAGGCCCUCUGGGUUGUAAACUUCUUUUAUCUGGGACGAAAAAAGGGUAUUCUUACUCACUUGACGGUACCAGAGGAAUAAGCACCGGCUAACUCCGUGCCAGCAGCCGCGGUAAUACGGAGGGUGCAAGCGUUAUCCGGAUUUACUGGGUUUAAAGGGUGCGUAGGUGGGCUUGUAAGUCAGUGGUGAAAUCUCCGGGCUUAACCCGGAAACUGCCAUUGAUACUAUAGGUCUUGAAUUAUCUGGAGGUAAGCGGAAUAUGUCAUGUAGCGGUGAAAUGCUUAGAUAUGACAUAGAACACCAAUUGCGAAGGCAGCUUACUACGGAUAUAUUGACACUGAGGCACGAAAGCGUGGGGAUCAAACAGGAUUAGAUACCCUGGUAGUCCACGCCCUAAACGAUGGAUACUCGACAUCAGCGAUACACUGUUGGUGUCUGAGCGAAAGCAUUAAGUAUCCCACCUGGGAAGUACGAUCGCAAGAUUGAAACUCAAAUGAAUUGACGGCUGAGAGNGCGAGACGACGACGAGGGAGGAGG